This is a small RNA of Prevotella multiformis DSM 16608, 190 nucleotides long. It matches the Rfam family "Bacteroidales-1 6S-Bacteroidales RNA suggested". The record is from Rfam. Lineage: Bacteria; Pseudomonadati; Bacteroidota; Bacteroidia; Bacteroidales; Prevotellaceae.
AGUCGUAUCGAUUCGAUCGGGAUAGUCAUCAAAUAAAUCAGAAAACCCGAGAUGACUUCUUCUGUCAAUGGCGGGCCACAUAAACCGCAUUCCUGCGACUAAGCCGCAAGGCCAGUGGAUUACAAAGACGAAGAGCUCUCCUAUCAUUGAUACUCGGACUUUUCAUCACAUCGUCGGUACGACUUUUCUA